CUAAGAUUGGUCGCGGACGGAUGAGCCCGCGUAGGAUUAGGUAGUUGGUGUGGUAAAGGCGCCCAAGCCGACGAUCCUUAGCUGGUCUGAGAGGAUGAUCAGCCACACUGGGACUGAGACACGGCCCAGACUCCCACGGGAGGCAGCAUGGGGGAAUAUUGGACAAUGGGCGAAAGCCUGAUCCAGCAAUGCCGCGGGAGUGAUGAAGGCCUUAUGUGUUGUAAAGCUCUUUUACCCGGGAUGAUAAUGACAGUACCGGGAGAAUAAGUCCGGCUAACUCCGUGCCAGCAGCCGCGGUAAUACGGAGGGAGCUAGCGUUAUUUGGAAUUACUGGGCGUAAAGCGCACGUAGGCGGGCUUUGUUAGUAACAGGGUGAAAAGCCUAAAGCUCAACUCUGGAAUUGCCUUUUAACUGUAUCGCUUGAAUCAUGGAGAGGUA
This 438-nucleotide ribosomal RNA is filed under the name uncultured Sphingomonas sp. RNAcentral's name for it is "bacterial SSU rRNA". It matches the Rfam family "Bacterial small subunit ribosomal RNA", at positions 202 to 659 of the family's 1533-position model. Lineage: Bacteria; Pseudomonadati; Pseudomonadota; Alphaproteobacteria; Sphingomonadales; Sphingomonadaceae. The record is from RNAcentral.